UCAUGAAAGCCGGUUGUAACCGAAGUCCGCAAGCAAACUCGCAAGAGGCGCAGCGGCCGAAGGUAUGGCUGGUGAUUGGGAUG
RNAcentral lists this ribosomal RNA (83 nucleotides) under uncultured bacterium. RNAcentral describes it as "partial 16S ribosomal RNA". The record is from RNAcentral.